AAGGCGAGGCCGAAAGGCGUAGUCGAUGGGAAACGGGUUAAUAUUCCCGUACUUGGUGUUACUGCGAAGGGGGGACGGAGAAGGCUAUGUUGGCCGGGCGACGGUUGUCCCGGUUUAAGCGUGUAGGCUGGUUUUCCAGGCAAAUCCGGAAAAUCAAGGCUGAGGCGUAACGACGAGGCACUACGGUGCUGAAGCAACAAAUGCCCUGCUUCCAGGAAAAGCCUCUAAGCAUCAGGUAACAUCAAAUCGUACCCCAAACCGACACAGGUGGUCAGGUAGAGAAUACCAAGGCGCUUGAGAGAACUCGGGUGAAGGAACUAGGCAAAAUGGUGCCGUAACUUCGGGAGAAGGCACGCUGACACGUAGGUGAAGUGAUUUACUCAUGGAGCUGAAGUCAGUCGAAGAUACCAGCUGGCUGCAACUGUUUAUUAAAAACACAGCACUGUGCAAACACGAAAGUGGACGUAUACGGUGUGACGCCUGCCCGGUGCCGGAAGGUUAAUUGAUGGGGUCAGCGCAAGCGAAGCUCCUGAUCGAAGCCCCGGUAAACGGCGGCCGUAACUAUAACGGUCCUAAGGUAGCGAAAUUCCUUGUCGGGUAAGUUCCGACCUGCACGAAUGGCGUAAUGAUGGCCAGGCUGUCUCCACCCGAGACUCAGUGAAAUUGAACUCGCUGUGAAGAUGCAGUGUACCCGCGGCAAGACGGAAAGACCCCGUGAACCUUUACUAUAGCUUGACACUGAACAUUGAGCCUUGAUGUGUAGGAUAGGUGGGAGGCUUUGAAGUGUGGACGCCAGUCUGCAUGGAGCCGACCUUGAAAUACCACCCUUUAAUGUUUGAUGUUCUAACGUGGACCCGUGAUCCGGGUUGCGGACAGUGUCUGGUGGGUAGUUUGACUGGGGCGGUCUCCUCCUAAAGAGUAACGGAGGAGCACGAAGGUUGGCUAAUCCUGGUCGGACAUCAGGAGGUUAGUGCAAUGGCAUAAGCCAGCUUGACUGCGAGCGUGACGGCGCGAGCAGGUGCGAAAGCAGGUCAUAGUGAUCCGGUGGUUCUGAAUGGAAGGGCCAUCGCUCAACGGAUAAAAGGUACUCCGGGGAUAACAGGCUGAUACCGCCCAAGAGUUCAUAUCGACGGCGGUGUUUGGCACCUCGAUGUCGGCUCAUCACAUCCUGGGGCUGAAGUAGGUCCCAAGGGUAUGGCUGUUCGCCAUUUA
RNAcentral lists this ribosomal RNA (1212 nucleotides) under Salmonella enterica subsp. enterica serovar Montevideo. Its description in RNAcentral is "partial 23S ribosomal RNA". It matches the Rfam family "Bacterial large subunit ribosomal RNA", at positions 1393 to 2590 of the family's 2925-position model. The record is from RNAcentral. Lineage: Bacteria; Pseudomonadati; Pseudomonadota; Gammaproteobacteria; Enterobacterales; Enterobacteriaceae.